ACGAGUUUCCCCGUCUAACUUUCCCGUCUGUUUAGACGGGUAAGUUAGACGGGAAAGUUCAGACGGGAAACUCGUCUGCGCCCGGAUUCAUAUUAGACGAGUUUCCCGUCUGAGACGAGUUUCCCGUCUCUAAUAUGAAUUCGGCUAUUUGAUCUGGAGAUGAAUUUGGUGUUUUGUUAAGCCUAUUUUUCAAAAAUAAUGAAUAAUGAAAAAUUUUCGUGCGGCAGAUAAAACAACGGCUGGAAUCUGAGGCUAAUAAAACCCAUGCGGGCGGGGACGAGAAACUUGAUAUCAAUUUUCAUUGGCCUAACAACAACAUUGUAAAAAGCAUUUGAAUAUUUUAGGCCAAGUUGAACUAACUGUCGAAAUAUUGCCAUACAGAAAUGUUUAUGGAUGCAUUUAAUUAUUAUAAAACUGUUACACUACAGUACAUUAUUCUCAAUCUCGU
Paramuricea clavata is the source of this 448-nucleotide non-coding RNA. The record is from the annotation of a GenBank genome assembly. NCBI's taxonomy places the organism in Eukaryota, Metazoa, Cnidaria, Anthozoa, Malacalcyonacea, Plexauridae.